AUUAUUCCUGCACCGGUUCGAGUUGGAGAAGAAUUUCCACCGUCUCGGGAUCUAGAAAUUAGAAGCAAACAAGUUGAAGAUGAAGCGACACAAUUGGCAAGAGAAAGGGAGGUUAGAGGAAGUGAUGAUUUCUCAAUUAAGAAUUGCAUAGCAGUUCUAAACACAUUGGAAGUCACAAAGGAGAAGGUCAAAGCCUAUAAGGUGUUCAAGGACUCUGACAAUCGACAGAUUUCUUGAGUGCCUGUAAUGAUGAUAGAGAGGCUGCAUUGAUGUGGUUGAGGGAUGAGAUGGCUUAGUAGGUAUACCUAAGUUCUAGACUUCCAGGGGUCGAGUUAUGUACGAAGUAGCUCCAAUCUUUAGAGGAAGAAUGUCUUCUCGACGGGUUUUAUGUACUUGUUCUAUCAAAGAGUGAGAUGAAUCAUUAUCUAGAUCUAUGAUCUCGUCAUAUUUAGUACACUGGAAAUGUAAUCUUUUGCAACUUAUUAGUGUUAACAGACCAUGAGAUAAUUGUGCAGGUUGUUUGAAAAGGCAUUAAUAUUGAGCUGACUGAAAAUUUUUAUUUUGGUAUUA
This is a long non-coding RNA of Zea mays, 570 nucleotides long. RefSeq lists it as uncharacterized. The transcript is spliced from 2 exons. NCBI's taxonomy places the organism in Eukaryota, Viridiplantae, Streptophyta, Magnoliopsida, Poales, Poaceae. The record is from RefSeq and is a predicted model, not a curated record.